CACGCGGAGCCGGCGCUGACCCGGGAAGGGGUGGGGCAUCGGCAAGUGCCAGGGGAAACUCCGCCCCGUUGCUCUCCUAGCUGCGGGCUGCAGGAGGUGCAGAACGAAGAGCGUCGUUCGGGCUCCGCAAAGAGGCCAGAGUAACCGGCUGGGAUGGGGCAAUGGGCUCGUGCCGCAGGUGCUGGGUUGCUGCAGGCCAUUUUACUUUCCACAUAAAACCAAAGGAAAAUCAAGAUCAGCUGGCAGUUACAUUGGAUUAGAAACUUAUGAAAGAAGUGAGACCAGUAAAACAGGUUUUCCAGCCAUUCUUGACUGAGGAGACUUUAAUGAAUAGGAUGAGCCAAGAUCACAUGAAGAAGCAAUAUGCAAACUAUAUGGGGCUCCUAUUAUGGAAGCACUGCAAACUUAUUUAGCCAGCAUGAUUCUAAAGCCUUUAAGGGGAGGACUUUAAUUUUUUUUCUUUGUUUAAGGAUUGGCAAAGCAACCUAAUUAUUAAAUUGCAUGCAAACAACUUCCGUGUUCUUAUAUUUACUAAGAGUUAGCAUGAAUGAUUAUGCAAAACAAAUCUGUCAUUAGUUGCUCUCUAUUUGCAUUGUGCCUGUUAAUAUGCUGCUGUUCAGACUAUGGCAGGGUAUAAUAAGCAAUUCUACUUCUGAAUUAAAAAUUCUAUAUGUGAAACUACAAAGAAACCUCAUUUUGUUCUGCAUGGAUUUUUGAAAUCACACAUUGUCUCAAAAUAUCCUGGACCAAAUUUGAUGCUGAUAUUAAUGGGCAUUUCACCAAGUCAUGC
This is a non-coding RNA of Chrysemys picta bellii (western painted turtle), 790 nucleotides long. The record is from RefSeq and is a predicted model, not a curated record. NCBI's taxonomy places the organism in Eukaryota, Metazoa, Chordata, Testudines, Emydidae.